AUUGAACGCUGGCGGCAGGCUUAACACAUGCAAGUCGAGCGGGGGAAGGUAGCUUGCUACCGGACCUAGCGGCGGACGGGUGAGUAAUGCUUAGGAAUCUGCCUAUUAGUGGGGGACAACAUCUCGAAAGGGAUGCUAAUACCGCAUACGUCCUACGGGAGAAAGCAGGGGAUCUUCGGACCUUGCGCUAAUAGAUGAGCCUAAGUCGGAUUAGCUAGUUGGUGGGGUAAAGGCCUACCAAGGCGACGAUCUGUAGCGGGUCUGAGAGGAUGAUCCGCCACACUGGGACUGAGACACGGCCCAGACUCCUGCGGGAGGCAGCAGUGGGGAACAUUGGACAAUGGGGGGAACCCUGAUCCAGCCAUGCCGCGUGUGUGAAGAAGGCCUUAUGGUUGUAAAGCACUUUAAGCGAGGAGGAGGCUACUUUAGUUAAUACCUAGAGAUAGUGGACGUUACUCGCAGAAUAAGCACCGGCUAACUCUGUGCCAGCAGCCGCCGUAA
RNAcentral lists this ribosomal RNA (501 nucleotides) under uncultured bacterium. RNAcentral describes it as "partial 16S ribosomal RNA". It matches the Rfam family "Bacterial small subunit ribosomal RNA", at positions 30 to 523 of the family's 1533-position model. The record is from RNAcentral.